RNAcentral lists this ribosomal RNA (239 nucleotides) under Chlorarachnion reptans. RNAcentral describes it as "partial Bacterial large subunit ribosomal RNA". It matches the Rfam family "Bacterial large subunit ribosomal RNA", at positions 1827 to 2074 of the family's 2925-position model. The record is from RNAcentral. Lineage: Eukaryota; Cercozoa; Chlorarachniophyceae.
AAAGACGAAAGUCGACGUAUAGGGUGUGACUCCUGCCCGGUGCUGGAAGAUUAAAUGAUGGGGUGCAAGCUCUUGACUGAAGUCCCAGUAAACGGCGGCCGUAACUAUAACGGUCCUAAGGUAGCGAAAUUCCUUGUCGGGUAAGUUCCGACCUGCACGAAUGGCGUAACGACUUCCCCGCUGUCUCCAACGUUGACUCAGCGAAAUUGAAUUCUCCGUGAAGAUGCGGAGUUCCCGCG